CCUACGGGGGGCAGCAGUGAGGAAUAUUGGUCAAUGGGCGCGAGCCUGAACCAGCCAAGUAGCGUGAAGGAUGACUGCCCUACGGGUUGUAAACUUCUUUUAUAAAGGAGUAAAGUGAGGCACGUGUGCCUUUUUGUAUGUACUUUAUGAAUAAGGAACGGCCAACUCCGUGCCAGCAGCCGCGGUAAUACGGAGGAGCCGAGCGUUAUCCGGAUUUAUUGGGUUUAAAGGGAACGGAGGUGGGUUGUUAAGUCAGUUGUGAAAGUGUGUGGCGCAACCGUAAAACUGCAAUUGAUACUGGCAGUCUUGAGUGCAGGUGAGGUAGGCGGAAUUCGUGGUGUAGCGGUGAAAUGCGUAGAUAUCACGAAGAACACCGGUGGCGAAGGCGGCUUACUAGACUGCCACUGACAUUGAGGCGCGAAAGUGUGGGUAGCAAACAGGAUUAGAUACCCUUGUAGUC
This 460-nucleotide ribosomal RNA is filed under the name uncultured bacterium. RNAcentral's name for it is "partial 16S ribosomal RNA". It matches the Rfam family "Bacterial small subunit ribosomal RNA", at positions 338 to 795 of the family's 1533-position model. The record is from RNAcentral.